GUGCCUUCAAAUAAAUUCAAAGUUAAUUAAAUUUAACUUUUUCAUCCACAUACCCCCCCCCCCCAAAAUUAGCUCGCAUUCCACCAGGGGCUUGCAUGCAGACAGGGAGGAAACUCGUGAAAUGAAAAACCCCCGGAACCAGACAGAGCGGAGUUUGAGUCCCUCUUCUGUCACCUGCCAGCUGACUUCAGGUGAAUCCUUCACUUGGCUGCUGUCCUGUCCCGUGUCUGUAAAGUCGGGAUCUCAACGCCAAUAUCACAGGAUGGAGGAGGAUGAGGUGUAUUGAAUGCUGCAUCCGUGUUUAUUGUUUCUCCAGCACCUUCUUGUAUCGGUCAGGACAGGAUAGGCCCUCCCCAAGGCUGCCUGCACGCUGCUGUCCUGCCAUUUCCAAGUCCUGGGUCAGCCACACAGUCAAGAGAGAGACAGCAUGUGUCUCUCCGAACAGCCUCAGACGAGGAGCACACGGCCGACUCUGCCUAGCAGCCCAGGGGGAGGAGGCUCUGCAGGAAACUCAAAGGUCAUCUAGACCAGGAAAUCCAGCGUGGCCACCCCUUGUGCUCACCUGGAGAGGGUGUUAAAAAUACAGAGGCCACCGCGUUGGAUGCGUCCUUGGGGCCAGAGGCUGCACACUGACAGUGAGGAGGGCAGCAGGGGAUCAAGCAGCAGUGAGCCCCACAGAGCCAGCCUCCGAACUGAGCCUCUGGAGAGCUGAGAAGAGCAGAUGAAGAUGUGUCAACAGUGGUCAGCUCACCCGUUUCAUCCUUCAGCUUCAAAACUCUGGAGCCACACAGACCAGGUCUGCAGAUUUUCAGGAUUCUUGCUGCUGCUGCCGCUUAAAAGCUUAGGAGAGAAAAAUAAAAUUCCG
RNAcentral lists this long non-coding RNA (865 nucleotides) under Equus caballus (horse). Its description in RNAcentral is "lncRNA (ENSECAG00000047233.1)". The record is from RNAcentral. Lineage: Eukaryota; Metazoa; Chordata; Mammalia; Perissodactyla; Equidae.